Molecule: ribosomal RNA, 419 nt
Filed under: uncultured bacterium
Lineage: Bacteria
Description: bacterial SSU rRNA
Rfam family: Bacterial small subunit ribosomal RNA
Source: RNAcentral
UGGGAAUCUUGCACAAUGGCGAAAGCCUGAUGCAGCAACGCCGCGUGCGGGAAGACAGCCCUAGGGUUGUAAACCGCUUUCAGCAGGGAAGAAACUGACGGUACCUGCAGAAGAAGAUGCGGCCAACUACGUGCCAGCAGCCGCGUGACACGUAGGCAUCAAGCGUUGUCCGGAAUUAUUGGGCGUAAAGAGCUCGUAGGCGGUCCGUUGCGUCUGCCGUGAAAACCCGGAGCUCAACUCCGGGCCUGCGGUGGAUACGGGCGGACUAGAGUCCGGUAGGGGAGACUGGAAUUCCUGGUGUAGCGGUGGAAUGCGCAGAUAUCAGGAGGAACACCGGUGGCGAAGGCGGGUCUCUGGGCCGGAAACUGACGCUGAGGAGCGAAAAGCGUGGGGAGCGAACAGGAUUAGAUACCCUGGUA